CUUAAAGGUAGUGGGGAAUGCUCCUGCUCUGGUAGUGAAAGGUAGCUUGUUCCACCAUUGGGGAACUAUUUAUUAUACAAAAUAAUAGGUUAAUUUCAGAAACACUGAAAACAUGAAGAAAAAAAGAAACAUCUGAAAAGUUCUUUGCUAAAAUGUAAAAGAGUAAUCUAACAGACCGUUUCCCUCAGAGCGAACAUUUUACAGUGAGAACAGGCGCUUUU
Molecule: long non-coding RNA, 221 nt
Filed under: Astyanax mexicanus (Mexican tetra)
Lineage: Eukaryota; Metazoa; Chordata; Actinopteri; Characiformes; Acestrorhamphidae
Description: lncRNA (ENSAMXG00005008990.1)
Source: RNAcentral